This 693-nucleotide ribosomal RNA is filed under the name uncultured bacterium. Its description in RNAcentral is "bacterial SSU rRNA". It matches the Rfam family "Bacterial small subunit ribosomal RNA", at positions 69 to 753 of the family's 1533-position model. The record is from RNAcentral.
GCAUCAGGAAGAAGCUUGCUUUCUUUGCUGGCGACCGGCGCACGGGUGAGUAACACGUAUCCAACCUACCCUUUACUCGGGGAUAGCCUUUCGAAAGAAAGAUUAAUACCCGAUGGGAUAAUUAUUCCGCAUGGUUUGAUUAUUAAAGGAUUCCGGUAAAGGAUGGGGAUGCGUUCCAUUAGGUUGUUGGUGAGGUAACGGCUCACCAAGCCUUCGAUGGAUAGGGGUUCUGAGAGGAAGGUCCCCCACAUUGGAACUGAGACACGGUCCAAACUCCUACGGGAGGCAGCAGUGAGGAAUAUUGGUCAAUGGGCGCUAGCCUGAACCAGCCAAGUAGCGUGAAGGAUGAAGGCUCUAUGGGUCGUAAACUUCUUUUAUAUAAGAAUAAAGUGCAGUAUGUAUACUGUUUUGUAUGUAUUAUAUGAAUAAGGAUCGGCUAACUCCGUGCCAGCAGCCGCGGUAAUACGGAGGAUCCGAGCGUUAUCCGGAUUUAUUGGGUUUAAAGGGAGCGUAGGUGGACUGGUAAGUCAGUUGUGAAAGUUUGCGGCUCAACCGUAAAAUUGCAGUUGAUACUGUCAGUCUUGAGUACAGUAGAGGUGGGCGGAAUUCGUGGUGUAGCGGUGAAAUGCUUAGAUAUCACGAAGAACUCCGAUUGCGAAGGCAGCUCACUGGACUGCAACUGACACUGAUGCU